AAAAUAAAGACUUCAGAUGGAAAGAAGAAAACCUUCUCUACCUGCUCAUCUCAUCUCAUAGUGGCCAGCCUAUUCUUUGGCACAGCAUUUAUUGUGUAUGUCCGACCUGAAGGAAGUCAUUAUGACAAAUAUCUAGCACUUAUUUACACUGUAGUGAUUCCAAUGCUUAACCCUUUCAUCUAUACUUUGCGAAAUCGGGAUAUCAAAACUGUCUUCCUACAACUAGUGAG
This is a non-coding RNA of Pelobates cultripes (western spadefoot toad), 230 nucleotides long. The record is from the annotation of a GenBank genome assembly. Lineage: Eukaryota; Metazoa; Chordata; Amphibia; Anura; Pelobatidae.